GAUAAAAACAUAUUUCAAAACACUGAUAAUUCUACCUGCAUGUGUGUAAAGGUUUAACCAAUUAUAUUAAAUCAUCAGAGUUUCAUUAUUGCACAUUAUGUUUAAAUAGGACUGAUUCAAUCUUGUGGGACAUUAAAGUCACUUCAUAGUGAUAAUGACCCAGCUAGUGUAACUAAAACAUGUAGUAGUAGUAGUAGUAGUAGUAGUAAUAGUUGCUUUUUACCUAAACGGCACCUAUUUUACCCCUUUUUCAAGAUUUAAGAUGCGUCUUUUAGCAAGUGUAAAGUAGAAAACUAGGGAGAGAAAUGUUUGAACAAGUCAUGACUGCAACAGUAAGUGGCAAAAAACUAAAAACAAAAGACUUUUAUUUUGGCGUGGCGUGUGACGUCAUUAGGCUGCGCCGCUCUUGCGCUUGAUUCAGCUGGAGAAAGGUUUGUUUUUAAAACCUUUACAUAAAUAUAAAGCGAUUGAAUAAAGUUUCAGGGUUUUCAUCCGAUGCUAUAUUAUGAACCUGC
Molecule: long non-coding RNA, 515 nt
Filed under: Danio rerio (zebrafish)
Lineage: Eukaryota; Metazoa; Chordata; Actinopteri; Cypriniformes; Danionidae
Description: si:ch211-64i20.5 (ENSDARG00000105111.2)
Source: RNAcentral